Felis catus (domestic cat) is the source of this 85-nucleotide transfer RNA. It matches the Rfam family "tRNA". Rfam says of the family: Transfer RNA (tRNA) molecules are approximately 80 nucleotides in length. Their secondary structure includes four short double-helical elements and three loops (D, anti-codon, and T loops). Lineage: Eukaryota; Metazoa; Chordata; Mammalia; Carnivora; Felidae. The record is from Rfam.
GCCUGGGUGGCUCAGUUGGUGAAGCACCUGACUUUGGCUCAGGUCAUGAUCUCAGAGUUCGUGAGUUCGAGCCCCUUGUCAGGCU